This 468-nucleotide ribosomal RNA is filed under the name uncultured bacterium. Its description in RNAcentral is "partial 16S ribosomal RNA". It matches the Rfam family "Bacterial small subunit ribosomal RNA", at positions 28 to 507 of the family's 1533-position model. The record is from RNAcentral.
GGCGAACGCUGGCGGCGUGCUUAACACAUGCCAGUCGAACGGAAAGGCCCUGCUUUUGUGGGGUGCUCGAGUGGCGAACGGGUGAGUAACACGUGAGUAACCUGCCCUUGACUUUGGGAUAACUUCAGGAAACUGGGGCUAAUACCGGAUAGGAGCUCCUGCUGCAUGGUGGGGGUUGGAAAGUUUCGGCGGUUGGGGAUGGACUCGCGGCUUAUCAGCUUGUUGGUGGGGUAGUGGCUUACCAAGGCUUUGACGGGUAGCCGGCCUGAGAGGGUGACCGGCCACAUUGGGACUGAGAUACGGCCCAGACUCCUACGGGAGGCAGCAGUGGGGAAUAUUGCACAAUGGGCGGAAGCCUGAUGCAGCAACGCCGCGUGCGGGAUGACGGCCUUCGGGUUGUAAACCGCUAUCGCCUGUGACGAAGCGUGAGUGACGGUAAUGGGUAAAGAAGCACCGGCUAACUACGUG